GCUUGUCUCAAAGAUUAAGCCAUGCAUGUCUCAGUACAAGCCAAAUUAAGGUGAAACCGCGAAAGGCUCAUUAAAUCAGUUAUGGUUCCUUAGAUCGUACCCACAAUUACUUGGAUAACUGUGGUAAUUCUAGAGCUAAUACAUGCAAACAGAGCUCCGACCGGAGACGGAAGGAGUGCUUUUAUUAGAUCAAAACCAAUCGGUGGCGGGUUCGCGCUCGUUAUCGUACAACUUGGUGACUCUGAAUAACUUUACGCUGAUCGCACGGUCAUCGCACCGGCGACGCAUCUUUCAAAUGUCUGCCUUAUCAACUGUCGAUGGUAGGUUCUGCGCCUACCAUGGUUGUAACGGGUAACGGGGAAUCAGGGUUCGAUUCCGGAGAGGGAGCCUGAGAAACGGCUACCACAUCCAAGGAAGGCAGCAGGCGCGCAAAUUACCCACUCCCGGCACGGGGAGGUAGUGACGAAAAAUAACGAUACGGGACUCAUCCGAGGCCCCGUAAUCGGAAUGAGUACACUCUAAACCCUUUAACGAGGAUCAAUUGGAGGGCAAGUCUGGUGCCAGCAGCCGCGG
This 573-nucleotide ribosomal RNA is filed under the name Trigonopterus batukarensis. Its description in RNAcentral is "SSU rRNA". It matches the Rfam family "Eukaryotic small subunit ribosomal RNA", at positions 30 to 579 of the family's 1831-position model. The record is from RNAcentral. Lineage: Eukaryota; Metazoa; Arthropoda; Insecta; Coleoptera; Curculionidae.